This 2923-nucleotide ribosomal RNA is filed under the name Klebsiella pneumoniae. Its description in RNAcentral is "23S ribosomal RNA". It matches the Rfam family "Bacterial large subunit ribosomal RNA". Lineage: Bacteria; Pseudomonadati; Pseudomonadota; Gammaproteobacteria; Enterobacterales; Enterobacteriaceae. The record is from RNAcentral.
GGGUUGUGAGGUUAAGCGACUAAGCGUACACGGUGGAUGCCCUGGCAGUCAGAGGCGAUGAAGGACGUGCUAAUCUGCGAAAAGCGUCGGUAAGGUGAUAUGAACCGUUACAGCCGGCGAUGUCCGAAUGGGGAAACCCAGUGCAAUUCGUUGCACUAUCGUUAACUGAAUACAUAGGUUAACGAGGCGAACCGGGGGAACUGAAACAUCUAAGUACCCCGAGGAAAAGAAAUCAACCGAGAUUCCCCCAGUAGCGGCGAGCGAACGGGGAGCAGCCCAGAGUCUGAAUCAGCUUGUGUGUUAGUGGAACGGUCUGGAAAGUCCGACGGUACAGGGUGAUAGUCCCGUACACCAAAAUGCACAGGUUGUGAACUCGAAGAGUAGGGCGGGACACGUGGUAUCCUGUCUGAAUAUGGGGGGACCAUCCUCCAAGGCUAAAUACUCCUGACUGACCGAUAGUGAACCAGUACCGUGAGGGAAAGGCGAAAAGAACCCCGGCGAGGGGAGUGAAAAAGAACCUGAAACCGUGUACGUACAAGCAGUGGGAGCACCUUCGGGUGUGACUGCGUACCUUUUGUAUAAUGGGUCAGCGACUUAUAUUCUGUAGCAAGGUUAACCGUAUAGGGGAGCCGCAGGGAAACCGAGUCUUAACUGGGCGUUAAGUUGCAGGGUAUAGACCCGAAACCCGGUGAUCUAGCCAUGGGCAGGUUGAAGGUUGGGUAACACUAACUGGAGGACCGAACCGACUAAUGUUGAAAAAUUAGCGGAUGACUUGUGGCUGGGGGUGAAAGGCCAAUCAAACCGGGAGAUAGCUGGUUCUCCCCGAAAGCUAUUUAGGUAGCGCCUCGUGAAUUCAUCUUCGGGGGUAGAGCACUGUUUCGGCUAGGGGGUCAUCCCGACUUACCAACCCGAUGCAAACUACGAAUACCGAAGAAUGUUAUCACGGGAGACACACGGCGGGUGCUAACGUCCGUCGUGAAGAGGGAAACAACCCAGACCGCCAGCUAAGGUCCCAAAGUCAUGGUUAAGUGGGAAACGAUGUGGGAAGGCACAGACAGCCAGGAUGUUGGCUUAGAAGCAGCCAUCAUUUAAAGAAAGCGUAAUAGCUCACUGGUCGAGUCGGCCUGCGCGGAAGAUGUAACGGGGCUAAACCAUGCACCGAAGCUGCGGCAGCGACACUAUGUGUUGUUGGGUAGGGGAGCGUUCUGUAAGCCUGCGAAGGUGUGCUGUGAGGCAUGCUGGAGGUAUCAGAAGUGCGAAUGCUGACAUAAGUAACGAUAAAGCGGGUGAAAAGCCCGCUCGCCGGAAGACCAAGGGUUCCUGUCCAACGUUAAUCGGGGCAGGGUGAGUCGACCCCUAAGGCGAGGCCGAAAGGCGUAGUCGAUGGGAAACAGGUUAAUAUUCCUGUACUUGGUGUUACUGCGAAGGGGGGACGGAGAAGGCUAUGUUAGCCGGGCGACGGUUGUCCCGGUUUAAGCAUGUAGGCUGGUUAUCCAGGCAAAUCCGGAUAAUCAAGGCUGAGGUGUGAUGACGAGGCACUACGGUGCUGAAGUAACAAAUGCCCUGCUUCCAGGAAAAGCCUCUAAGCAUCAGGUAACAUCAAAUCGUACCCCAAACCGACACAGGUGGUCAGGUAGAGAAUACCAAGGCGCUUGAGAGAACUCGGGUGAAGGAACUAGGCAAAAUGGUGCCGUAACUUCGGGAGAAGGCACGCUGGUGUGUAGGUGAAGCCCCUGCGGGUGGAGCUGAGACCAGUCGAAGAUACCAGCUGGCUGCAACUGUUUAUUAAAAACACAGCACUGUGCAAACACGAAAGUGGACGUAUACGGUGUGACGCCUGCCCGGUGCCGGAAGGUUAAUUGAUGGGGUUAUCCGUAAGGAGAAGCUCUUGAUCGAAGCCCCGGUAAACGGCGGCCGUAACUAUAACGGUCCUAAGGUAGCGAAAUUCCUUGUCGGGUAAGUUCCGACCUGCACGAAUGGCGUAAUGAUGGCCAGGCUGUCUCCACCCGAGACUCAGUGAAAUUGAACUCGCUGUGAAGAUGCAGUGUACCCGCGGCAAGACGGAAAGACCCCGUGAACCUUUACUAUAGCUUGACACUGAACAUUGAGCCUUGAUGUGUAGGAUAGGUGGGAGGCUUUGAAGCGUGGACGCCAGUCUGCGUGGAGCCAACCUUGAAAUACCACCCUUUAAUGUUUGAUGUUCUAACGUUGGCCCCUGACCGGGGUUGCGGACAGUGUCUGGUGGGUAGUUUGACUGGGGCGGUCUCCUCCUAAAGCGUAACGGAGGAGCACGAAGGUUAGCUAAUCCUGGUCGGACAUCAGGAGGUUAGUGCAAUGGCAUAAGCUAGCUUGACUGCGAGCGUGACGGCGCGAGCAGGUGCGAAAGCAGGUCAUAGUGAUCCGGUGGUUCUGAAUGGAAGGGCCAUCGCUCAACGGAUAAAAGGUACUCCGGGGAUAACAGGCUGAUACCGCCCAAGAGUUCAUAUCGACGGCGGUGUUUGGCACCUCGAUGUCGGCUCAUCACAUCCUGGGGCUGAAGUAGGUCCCAAGGGUAUGGCUGUUCGCCAUUUAAAGUGGUACGCGAGCUGGGUUUAGAACGUCGUGAGACAGUUCGGUCCCUAUCUGCCGUGGGCGCUGGAGAAUUGAGGGGGGCUGCUCCUAGUACGAGAGGACCGGAGUGGACGCAUCACUGGUGUUCGGGUUGUCAUGCCAAUGGCACUGCCCGGUAGCUAAAUGCGGAAGAGAUAAGUGCUGAAAGCAUCUAAGCACGAAACUUGCCCCGAGAUGAGUUCUCCCUGAGACUUUAAGUCUCCUGAAGGAACGUUAAAGACGAUGACGUUGAUAGGCCGGGUGUGUAAGCGCAGCGAUGCGUUGAGCUAACCGGUACUAAUGAACCGUGAGGCUUAACCUUACAACGCCGAAG